UGAAGGGGUAAGCGGAUAAGAGCAGCUGC
This 29-nucleotide non-coding RNA is filed under the name Homo sapiens (human). The record is from RNAcentral. Lineage: Eukaryota; Metazoa; Chordata; Mammalia; Primates; Hominidae.